CUAUUGAUGACUUACGCAACUACUCUCGAAGGCCGAGAAGUUCUAAACUGCCAAACAGCCCGUUCAUAACUGUCAAAUCGCGUUUGUCAUACAUUCUUAGUUCUGCCUUUUCCAUCCUCUAAGUUCUGCCCCGUUAACGCCUUCUUUAACAAUUUUGUCUUCCGGUAGCAAAGGCCUUGGCCGGAAAGAAGUCGCAUGGUCCAAAAGUGACAAACUUUUGCGUGUUCAUUUUUUGAAAGGAAUGCAAACAUUUCCGAGCAUGUUUUAGAAAAGUUAUUUAUAUUCUACACUUCGAAUACAGCUGGUCUAAUGUUUGGUGUAAAUUUCAACAGGUUGCUACACUAGAAAAGAUUGGAAAGUUGGAGUGGCUUGAUAAGAAAGGCAAGCGCAGUUUGAGAGACCUAAAUAUUUAUUACGUUUAGCAUAGGACUGCGAUGGGCUAAUAAAGAUGAUAAUGCUUUG
Molecule: long non-coding RNA, 462 nt
Organism: Hyposmocoma kahamanoa
Lineage: Eukaryota; Metazoa; Arthropoda; Insecta; Lepidoptera; Cosmopterigidae
Exons: 3
Source: RefSeq, a predicted model, not a curated record